Molecule: ribosomal RNA, 753 nt
Filed under: Triticum aestivum (bread wheat)
Lineage: Eukaryota; Viridiplantae; Streptophyta; Magnoliopsida; Poales; Poaceae
Description: partial small subunit ribosomal RNA
Source: RNAcentral
AUGUCACAACGUAACACCAAGAUCCUAUGCUAGAACAUUCGCGGCCACAACGCCGAUGUGAGAAAAGAUGUCAUCCGCGACAUCAUUCGCGACACUCACUCCAUGAUUGUUUGCAUCCCAGAAACUAAGCUUGCAGUCAUCAAUGAUAGUAUCAUUAGUCGCGCCCUCGGACCGCAAUUUGUGUCAAACUAUUGCUUCAGCCCUGCUCAGGGGACUCGGGGAGGCAUGGUGAUGGCCGUCUCCGAUGCCUUUUUCAGUAUGUCCAAGGUUGUCCACACAGAAAACACCAUAUCUGCAACCAUCACUAUGUUAGCUGAUGGAUCCUCCUGGACAAUGACUGGAGCUUAUGGACCGCAAUCCGAGCAGGAAAAGCUUGCUUUCCUCGAUGAAAUUCUGCAACUACAACCCAACGUGCGUGACCAGUGGAUUCUGCUUGGCGAUUUCAAUUUGAUCGUCAAAGCGGCCGACAAAAGUAACAACAGAAUAAAUAGAAGGCUCCUUGGAAAAUUUAAAACAGUGCUCGACUCACUCAUGCUCAAGGAAAUGCGAUUGAACGGGCGCCGCUUCACCUGGUCAAACGAGCAGCAGAACCCAACACACACCAAGAUUGACCAUGUCUUCUGCACAAAUGAUUGGGAGAUGUUGUUCCCCGCAGCACACCUUCAAGCUCUCCCCACUAUGUGCUCAGACCAUUUGCCCAUUAUUCCUGCAAGGAGAUUUUGCCGAAACAAACAACACCUUUUUCAAGUUUGA